GUCUCUCCUCCUCACAGAAGCCUGGAGCUGGGCAUCCAAGAAGAAGCAGCCUCAUUUGUUUUCUGGUGUCAUCGUAGGUGGCCACCUAUGGCUUUUGGGCUUCUCACCUGGGGCGGGUGGGUUCUGCACCACCCUCCCACCCUCCUUCCUCCGUGUGGACGAUAGAGCCACAUCCAGCACCACGGACAGCUCCCGGGCGAUCCCAUGGGAGUAGAAGAGGUGUGAGCAGGUUGCCCAGCUGGUUAGCGGAAAUGCCAAGAUCCAGGCUCCUGAAUUUCAGCCUGGCCCUUUCUAUCUGUCUGAUACCUCCUUUACGAGUCUCUCUGCCUGCGUUGUGUGGAGCGGGCCUGCUGCUGGUUGGGGGAGUUUGCAGGUUGCCCCUAUGCAAAAAAGGACAGGAUGCAUGACUGGCAUCCUUCAUCUCCUCGUCCUCCAGGCAGCACAAGCCAUUGUGGAAUCUCCACCAGGUGUACAGAACGGUGCCUCUGCGUCCUGCCACUCAGGACCUCUCAAGUCCCCGAUGUGAUGGCUCCUCA
Molecule: long non-coding RNA, 536 nt
Filed under: Homo sapiens (human)
Lineage: Eukaryota; Metazoa; Chordata; Mammalia; Primates; Hominidae
Description: non-protein coding lnc-C1orf61-2:14
Source: RNAcentral